This 225-nucleotide long non-coding RNA is filed under the name Lathyrus oleraceus (garden pea). RNAcentral describes it as "Pisum sativum (pea) long non-coding RNA (PSAT_LNC007341)". Lineage: Eukaryota; Viridiplantae; Streptophyta; Magnoliopsida; Fabales; Fabaceae. The record is from RNAcentral.
AUAAAAUGAAAUAUUAAAAGAAAUGGAGGGAAAACAAAUUAAUUUGAAUUAAAUCAGAAAACACCACAGCCGUUGGAUAAGGCGCGCAAUCAAGAUCUAAGGUCCACAUUCAAACAAUCAAAAUGCACGGUUUCAUUAAACAGUCAGCGUGCUCAGUCACUACACACAUCAGUAUUCAACGGUACGCAUGGCAUGAUCAAACAAAUGGUAUCCAAUCAUACACAC